RNAcentral lists this long non-coding RNA (666 nucleotides) under Olea europaea subsp. europaea. The record is from RNAcentral. Lineage: Eukaryota; Viridiplantae; Streptophyta; Magnoliopsida; Lamiales; Oleaceae.
ACACACUCAAAUUCGAGAACUCGCACUAAAAAUUAAACACUUUUAUCUUAAAAACUAUGCACUAACUUAGGCAAUGGAGCAUGUUCGGUCACCAAACUACCAUCUAGGCAACCGGCCGGAAGUAACACAGCUGUUCAUUUAGAGCAGACUCUCAGCAAAUAGUUUAAUUCAAGAUUAUUUACAGGUCUAACUAGCACUAAUAAUUCACCGUAGCAGCGAAGAAGGUAGACGGAAUCUUGGGCAUCAAAUUGACAAGAACCUAACUAUAAGCAAAGAACAUGAAACUUGAAUAGAAAAUAGAUCAAAAUCUAGUAACGAGACAUCAUAAAGAUUGAUAAAAAUAAAUAAAUAAAUAAAUAAAUAAAUAAAAAUAAGUAAUAACAAAUCAACAAUUGACCCAAAAAAAUCCCAUCUCUAGAAGUAAAGACAGUAGAAUAAUACCAAAAAAUUCAAUUCUGAACCUUCAAAGAGAAAAUGCUGUGAAAAGGGUGAGGUAGAGAGGGUUUACAUUAUACAAAGCUCACUAAUUAAUUGCAGUCUUCAUGUUAGUUGUAGUGUCACUUUCAACAAAAUCUACUCGAAGAUUACUAAAAAUUGUUUACCUGUGUAUCUAGCUCACAAUGGAGGUCGGGAAAGAUCGGAGUUACUCUCAUUUGAACAAUUCAU